Long non-coding RNA from Clupea harengus (Atlantic herring), 212 nucleotides. RefSeq lists it as uncharacterized. Lineage: Eukaryota; Metazoa; Chordata; Actinopteri; Clupeiformes; Clupeidae. The transcript has 3 exons. The record is from RefSeq and is a predicted model, not a curated record.
CACUCAGUGCGUUUCCCUGUGCAUCAUGGACCCCCUCUAUGGAAAUGUACAUGGGAAUAAACCUGAUGAGCGCCACAGAGGUCCAGCCUCUCAGACGACCGUAUCCACAAAGGCCCUGAUUCCACUACUGAUAGUUGGACUGGCUCUGCUUUUCAGUCUGGCAGCUCUUGGAACCAUGACAUAUCUAUAUACAAACAAAAGAAGUGAUGAAC